GAGCCUAGGUCGGAUUAGCUAGUUGGUGAGGUAAUGGCUCACCAAGGCGACGGUCCGUAACUGGUCUGAGAGGAUGAUCAGUCACACUGGAGCUGAGACACGGUCCAGACUCGUACGGGAGGCAGCAGUGGGGAAUAUUGGACAAUGGGCGAAAGCCUGAUCCAAAGAGGCCGGGUGUGUGAAGAAGGUCUUCGGAUGUAAAUCAAAGGAAGUUGGGAGGAAGGGCAGUUACCUAAUACGUGAUGUUUGACGUAC
This 255-nucleotide ribosomal RNA is filed under the name uncultured bacterium. RNAcentral's name for it is "partial 16S ribosomal RNA". It matches the Rfam family "Bacterial small subunit ribosomal RNA", at positions 227 to 478 of the family's 1533-position model. The record is from RNAcentral.